UCAUCUCCAUACUUGCUGCGAGGUUGAGUAAUUGGUGUCUGGAUGUGCGUGUGCUGCUUCCCAAAAUAUCUCUUUAAAAAGACGUGAGAGGGAUGCGGAGCAAGUAGCCAAGAGAACUUGCCAUCAUCCUUUCCUCUCAGGAAAACAAGAUUAUGUGAAGGAAUCCUUGCUUUGAACUAAGGAAGAAAGUUGAGAUUUCUGAAGAAGAUGGAAGUCUGAAUAGGUAUGCAAGGCUUCCUAUCUUGCUCUGAACACAUACAAUUGUAUGACCCAAAAAACACAAAUAUUUCAAAAAAGAAAA
Long non-coding RNA from Chinchilla lanigera (long-tailed chinchilla), 301 nucleotides. RefSeq lists it as uncharacterized. The transcript is spliced from 3 exons. The record is from RefSeq and is a predicted model, not a curated record. Lineage: Eukaryota; Metazoa; Chordata; Mammalia; Rodentia; Chinchillidae.